This 253-nucleotide ribosomal RNA is filed under the name uncultured bacterium. RNAcentral describes it as "partial 16S ribosomal RNA". It matches the Rfam family "Bacterial small subunit ribosomal RNA", at positions 524 to 776 of the family's 1533-position model. The record is from RNAcentral.
GACGGAGGGUGCUAGCGUUGUUCGGAUUUACUGGGCGUAAAGCGCGUGUAGGCGGCUCGGAAAGUCGGGUGUGAAAGCCCUGGGCUCAACCUAGGAAGUGCACUCGAAACUUCCGAGCUGGAGUUCUGGAGAGGAAGGCGGAAUUCUCGGUGUAGAGGUGAAAUUCGUAGAUAUCGAGAGGAACACCGGUGGCGAAGGCGGCCUUCUGGACAGCAACUGACGCUGAGACGCGAAAGCGUGGGGAGCAAACAGG